RNAcentral lists this ribosomal RNA (427 nucleotides) under Namazonurus campbelli. Its description in RNAcentral is "partial 12S ribosomal RNA". It matches the Rfam family "Bacterial small subunit ribosomal RNA", at positions 768 to 1402 of the family's 1533-position model. Lineage: Eukaryota; Metazoa; Chordata; Lepidosauria; Squamata; Cordylidae. The record is from RNAcentral.
UAAACUGGGAUUAGAUACCCCACUAUGCCCAGCCGUAAACUUAGAUAGCAAAAUACUACCUAUCCGCCAGAGAACUACGAGCAAAAUACUUAAAACUCAAAGGACUUGGCGGCAUUCCAUAUCAACCUAGAGGAGCCCGUCCAAUAAUCGAUACUACGCGUUCAACCCCACCAUUUUUGGCCACUCCAGCCUAUAUACCGCCGUCGCCAGCUAACCUUGUGAGAGAAAAGUAGUAAGCACAAUAGCCUCCGCUAAAACGUCAGGUCAAGGUGUAGCUUAUAAAAUGGAUGUGAUAGGCUACAUUUUCUAACAUAGAAAACACAGAAGUUACAAUGAAACCUUGUAACAGAAGGCGAAUUUAGAAGUAAACUAAGAAAGAAUUCUUAUUUUAACACUGCCCUGGAAUGCGCACACACCGCCGUCACCC